Molecule: ribosomal RNA, 490 nt
Filed under: uncultured bacterium
Lineage: Bacteria
Description: partial 16S ribosomal RNA
Rfam family: Bacterial small subunit ribosomal RNA
Source: RNAcentral
AUUGAACGCUGGCGGCAGGCCUAACACACGCAAGUCGAACGGUAACAGGAAGAAGCUUGCUUCUUUGCUGACGAGUGGCGGACGGGUGAGUAAUGUCUGGGAAACUGCCUGGUGGAGGGGGAUAACUACUGGAAACGGUAGCUAAUACCGCAUAACGUCGCAAGACCAAAGAGGGGGACCUUCGGGCCUCUUGCCAUCGGAUGUGCCCAGAUGGGAUUAGCUAGUAGGUGGGGUAACGGCUCACCUAGGCGACGAUCCCUAGCUGGUCUGAGAGGAUGACCAGCCACACUGGAACUGAGACACGGUCCAGACUCCUACGGGAGGCAGCAGUGGGGAAUAUUGCACAAUGGGCGCAAGCCUGAUGCAGCCAUGCCGCGUGUAUGAAGAAGGCCUUCGGGUUGUAAAGUACUUUCAGCGGGGAGGAAGGGAGUAAAGUUAAUACCUUUGCUCAUUGACGUUACCCGCAGAAGAAGCACCGGCUAACUCCGUG